GAUGAACGCUGGCGGCGUGCCUAAUACAUGCAAGUCGAGCGAACAGACGAGGAGCUUGCUCCUCUGACGUUAGCGGCGGACGGGUGAGUAACACGUGGAUAACCUACCUAUAAGACUGGGAUAACUUCGGGAAACCGGAGCUAAUACCGGAUAAUAUAUUGAACCGCAUGGUUCAAUAGUGAAAGACGGUUUUGCUGUCACUUAUAGAUGGAUCCGCGCCGCAUUAGCUAGUUGGUAAGGUAACGGCUUACCAAGGCGACGAUGCGUAGCCGACCUGAGAGGGUGAUCGGCGACACUGGAACUGAGACACGGUCCAGACGCCUACGGGAGGCAGCAGUAGGGAAUCUUCCGCAAUGGGCGAAAGCCUGACGGAGCAACGCCGCGUGAGUGAUGAAGGUCUUCGGAUCGUAAAACUCUGUUAUUAGGGAAGAACAAAUGUGUAAGUAACUAUGCACGUCUUGACGGUACCUAAUCAGAAAGCCACGGCUAACUACGUG
This 497-nucleotide ribosomal RNA is filed under the name uncultured bacterium. Its description in RNAcentral is "partial 16S ribosomal RNA". It matches the Rfam family "Bacterial small subunit ribosomal RNA", at positions 28 to 507 of the family's 1533-position model. The record is from RNAcentral.